GCCGGGGUGGCCGAGUGGACCAAGGCGGCGGACUUGAGAUCCGUUGCCCUCCUGAGGGUGCCCGGGUUCGAAUCCCGGCCCCGGCG
This 86-nucleotide transfer RNA is filed under the name Infirmifilum lucidum. RNAcentral describes it as "Thermofilum sp. 3507LT tRNA-Ser". It matches the Rfam family "tRNA". From Rfam's summary of the family: Transfer RNA (tRNA) molecules are approximately 80 nucleotides in length. Their secondary structure includes four short double-helical elements and three loops (D, anti-codon, and T loops). Lineage: Archaea; Thermoproteati; Thermoproteota; Thermoprotei; Thermofilales; Thermofilaceae. The record is from RNAcentral.